Molecule: unclassified non-coding RNA, 370 nt
Filed under: uncultured fungus
Lineage: Eukaryota; Fungi
Description: partial contains small subunit ribosomal RNA, internal transcribed spacer 1, and 5.8S ribosomal RNA
Rfam family: Eukaryotic small subunit ribosomal RNA (bases 1-73)
Source: RNAcentral
GCAAACUUGGUCAUUUAGAGGAAGUAAAAGUCGUAACAAGGUUUCCGUAGGUGAACCUGCGGAAGGAUCAUUACUGAAGAAAUGGUAGAGUUGAGCUGACUCUUUGGAGUAUGUGCUCGCACUAUCGCUUUUUCUAUUCUCCCCUGUGAACCUUUUGUAGACUUUUUAUGAUAUUUGGCUUCUUAACAGGAGUUCAUUUGGAGACUCGCAUUUUUAAGAUGCUUGACUCUACCCUUAUCAUAUCAGUCUAUGAUCUUAUAUCUACUCUUCAGUUUAUGAAUGUCUCUUUGUUGGUUUUUUAAUACCAAUAAAUUAUUAUACAACUUUCAGCAACGGAUCUCUUGGCUCUCGCAUCGAUGAAGAACGCAGC